GCCGGUGUAGCUCAAUGGUAGAGCAAGCGCAUCGUAAGCGUUAGGUUGUCAGUUCGAUUCUGACCACCGGCUCCA
This 75-nucleotide transfer RNA is filed under the name Patescibacteria group bacterium. RNAcentral describes it as "tRNA-Thr". It matches the Rfam family "tRNA". Rfam says of the family: Transfer RNA (tRNA) molecules are approximately 80 nucleotides in length. The record is from RNAcentral.